Molecule: long non-coding RNA, 1113 nt
Organism: Oncorhynchus gorbuscha (pink salmon)
Lineage: Eukaryota; Metazoa; Chordata; Actinopteri; Salmoniformes; Salmonidae
Exons: 3
Source: RefSeq, a predicted model, not a curated record
AGAACAGGGUAUUUGGCUAGCUCUACUGCAGCAAGCGAACUGCCCUUCAUCCCUUGAAAUUUGACAGAUGGGAUGUAUAUUGGCAAACUCAGUUGGGGUGGGUGACUUGUUCUUCAGUAUGUUAGGAUUUUUGGCUCCCACUGGGGUGAUGUCACAGUGGCUAAGGCAGGGAUGUACUGUGACCUGAAUUUGAGGCCAAAUCAACAGAGAGGACAACAACAGAAAGCAAACACAGGUUCCAAGACAGCUCAGGAGUGGCAUCGGUACAAGUCUCUGAAUGUACUUGAGCGGCCCAGCCAAAGUCCGAUCGAAGAUCUCUGGAGAGACCUGAAAAUGGUGGUGCAGCAACACUCCCCAUCCAACCUGACAGAGCAUUAGAGGAUCUGCAAAGAAGAAUGGGAGAAACUUCCCAAAUACAGGUGUGCCAAGCUAAUAGCAUAUCCAAUAAUACUCUAUGCAGUAAUCGCUGCCAAAGGUGAUUCCACAAAGUACUGAGCAAAGGGUCUGAAUACUUACGUAAAUGUGUUAUUUCAGUUUUUUAAUACACAUUUGCAAACAUUUCUAAAAAACUGUUUUUCCUUUGUCAUUAUGGGGUAUUGUGUGUAGAUUGAUGAGGGAAAAAAAGCAAUUUAAUAAAUUUUAGAAUAAGGGUGUAACGUAAAAAACUGUGGGAAAAGUCAUGGGGUUUGAAUACUUUCCAACUGUAUAUUGCAUACUGAACAACAACUGAGUAAAAAUAGAAUUCUCACAAUGUAAAUGUCAAUUGUAUUUCAAAACUUUCUAAGAAUGUCAAAAACAUACAUUGAAAAUUAUGGAAAUAAGAUUCAUUGUCAAUAUGAUGUUUGUAUUGCUCAGGAACAGACAGACAAGUUUUCACUCAUGACAGCUGUCAAAGUCCUGGAGGCAACGCCCACUAAUCUGAAGAGCGCUUGUGAUUUUUGUGAUUGGUCACAUAUGGACCAAUCCCUGAAGCUGUUCAGGCACAAUUUCUAUAGUUUGGGCCACUCACAUGGCAGCACUGUUGUUGUUUGGAUUGUGUAACGUGUGCUGCACGUGUUUGACAAUGCGCGGAGCAGAAGGAGGGAAAGAGAAAGAACAGAGAGAAAAAAAGAC